Helianthus annuus (common sunflower) is the source of this 465-nucleotide long non-coding RNA. RefSeq lists it as uncharacterized. The record is from RefSeq and is a predicted model, not a curated record. The transcript is spliced from 2 exons. NCBI's taxonomy places the organism in Eukaryota, Viridiplantae, Streptophyta, Magnoliopsida, Asterales, Asteraceae.
GUCCCACAACAUAAUAAAGUAAAGGCUUACAAAUUGUAUAAAGAGAGGAAACAAAACAUACCUUCCUCAAUUCUAACCAUCAAAGCUACAAAUGAAGACAUCAAAAUCAACAAGAUUCUUACCUCUCCUCUUGCUUCUUCUCAUUUCAGCUUGCUCAACCAAAACCGAAAUGGUUGGUUUUGCUCGGGCUAUAAGAAUCCCGGAACACACUUGUAUAAAGCAGUUUAACGAGACGAUAUGUGAACCCGAGAGAUGUCAACAUCAGUGUACCAAAAGAGAGCCAUUUGGUGUAGGGAAAUGCAAUGGUAACAUGUGUGUUUGUUCAUAUUAUUGUAAGUUACCCCCUAUGUGACCAAUACUGUUUUCAUAUAUGUAAGGCUCCCUGUUCUAAAAAUAAGAUCUUUGAACUGUGUUGGGAGCCCAAAAUCUACUUUAUGUUUUUUUUUAAUAUAUACUUUUUUGAAA